AAAGCAAAGGCGCUGACAUCUAGGAUCUACCAAAGAACGAAUAGGAUUAUCGUUUUUUUUUCUUGUUUUAUCUUACCGUUGUUGAACAUUUGUUGAUCUCAACGUCUAUUGUAUCGGUGCAGCCAGAAUAAUUUCAUAUGGUCGAACCGCAAGUUAGAUAAAUUCGGCGGUGGAGUUAUAAUCAGCAUCACAUCAGCAAGAUGUUGUCAAAUAGUGCUUUGCUGAAAAUAUGUGGAUAUGGAACGUUUUUCAUGAGCGGUAUUGCCCUACUGGCAUUUGAGGAAAUACAAGCACGCAUUCGUGGGGGUGCUACCAGGAGAUGUCUUUUAUCACGGGCUGCAUCAUCCACUGGAGCACUUGUAGCAAGAACAAUACAGAAGACGACGGUGAAAAGCCUUAUCUACGAUCAAAAAUACCAGAACAAACUAACAGCUAUUUUUUAAUAUUUAUGUGAGCUUAUCAUAAGAUGUAUUUAUGAUGUAUUACAAUUAGCAAUAGCCAGUUUUCAAUCAAGAUAUUUUUGUUAAUAUAUGAGAAUGAAAAAUUAUCUAGUAUGGUAUAUCAAACCUUACCAGAAGUUUCAUGUUGGUGUUUAUAGACGAGUAUGCUACUUCAAAGCUUAACUUGUAGUGUGCUCUCUGUGGUUAGUUCCUUUGUUUAUAUAUGCUAGGCUUACCCAGGAAAUAGUAUCAUGAUCAAUAUCUCUACCUUGAUGUAUUUCAGAUACUCAAUUGUUGUAUCCGCAUGUAGUCAUGCAUAUCAUUUGUUCAUCUCACAGAUACAUGUGAUCAUGUGUCCUUAACUGCAGCUUCAUUCCACAUAAAUUAGGAUUUCUUACAGCUUGUGUGAAGUAUUACUUAUACUUUUCAAUAUGAGGUAGGUGUAUUAAUUUACUUCAAUGAGCAUAUUCUACAUAGUUCUAUCAACUUGCUUCAUUGACUGAUUUUUAAAAUAUCAAAGUUAAUCUAAACAAAGAAUCGAUUGAGAUCAUUUGCAUAUUACACAUGAGCAGUUAUAGUCUUUGAUGUUCAAAUACCACGAAUGCAUAAUAUUUGUUAAUAUAGACUAAACGAUCUUGAAAAUCUAUCUCUAAUAGUAAUAAAGGCACUAGAGUCGAGACCUUGCUCUAUAAAAUAAAGAUCUAAUAAUUAUGCAAUUUCUACCACACCUUUUUCACAGUAGAUUAUGGGCAAAGCUGUGUCUAGGGAGUAACAAUUGGAUGCAGUUGUUGUGUGGUUGCAUGUUGAAUCCUUAUUUCUGCACUUGCCUGUAAAAUAUCACUUUAGCUUCAUAGAUCGAG
Molecule: unclassified non-coding RNA, 1300 nt
Filed under: Athalia rosae (coleseed sawfly)
Lineage: Eukaryota; Metazoa; Arthropoda; Insecta; Hymenoptera; Athaliidae
Description: misc RNA ENSAEAG00005003907.1
Source: RNAcentral